UACGAAGGGGGCUAGCGUUGCUCGGAAUCACUGGGCGUAAAGGGUGCGUAGGCGGGUCUUUAAGUCAGGGGUGAAAUCCUGGAGCUCAACUCCAGAACUGCCUUUGAUACUGAAGAUCUUGAGUCCGGGAGAGGUGAGUGGAACUGCGAGUGUAGAGGUGAAAUUCGUAGAUAUUAGGAAGAACACCAGUGGCGAAGGCGGCUCACUGGAUCGGUACUGACGCUGAGGUGCGAAAGCGUGGGGAGCAAACAGG
RNAcentral lists this ribosomal RNA (253 nucleotides) under uncultured bacterium. Its description in RNAcentral is "partial 16S ribosomal RNA". It matches the Rfam family "Bacterial small subunit ribosomal RNA", at positions 524 to 776 of the family's 1533-position model. The record is from RNAcentral.